Molecule: non-coding RNA, 99 nt
Organism: Panus rudis PR-1116 ss-1
Lineage: Eukaryota; Fungi; Basidiomycota; Agaricomycetes; Polyporales; Panaceae
Source: the annotation of a GenBank genome assembly
GCGCCGAUGGGGUAGUGGUAACCUGGGUCGUUGCCAUGUCGAGACUCGAAGACAAUCCGAGACUUCGACCCGCCGGGGGUUCGAUUCCCCCUCGGCGCA